RNAcentral lists this ribosomal RNA (376 nucleotides) under uncultured Desulfobulbus sp. RNAcentral describes it as "bacterial SSU rRNA". It matches the Rfam family "Bacterial small subunit ribosomal RNA", at positions 1008 to 1382 of the family's 1533-position model. The record is from RNAcentral. Lineage: Bacteria; Pseudomonadati; Thermodesulfobacteriota; Desulfobulbia; Desulfobulbales; Desulfobulbaceae.
GGGGUGCUUCCAUCUGGAAGAAUCUGGAGACAGGUGCUGCAUGGCCGUCGUCAGCUCGUGUCGUGAGAUGUUGGGUUAAGUCCCGCAACGAGCGCAACCCUUGCCUUUAGUUGCCAGCAGUUCGGCUGGGCACUCUAAAGGGACUGCCGGUGUUAAACCGGAGGAAGUGGGGAUGACGUCAAGUCCUCAUGGCCUUUAUGACCAGGGCUACACACGUACUACAAUGGCCGAUACAAAGGGCAGCGACACUGCGAGGUGAAGCCAAUCCCGUAAAAUCGGUCUCAGUCCGGAUUGGAGUCUGCAACUCGACUCCAUGAAGUUGGAAUCGCUAGUAAUCGUGGAUCAGCAUGCCACGGUGAAUACGUUCCCGGGCCUU